This 85-nucleotide transfer RNA is filed under the name Felis catus (domestic cat). It matches the Rfam family "tRNA". From Rfam's summary of the family: Transfer RNA (tRNA) molecules are approximately 80 nucleotides in length. Lineage: Eukaryota; Metazoa; Chordata; Mammalia; Carnivora; Felidae. The record is from Rfam by way of RNAcentral.
GCCUGGGUAGCUCAGUCGGUUGAGCAUCUGACUUCGGCUCAGGUCAUGAUCUCACGGUUCGUGAGUUCAAGCCCCGCGUCGGGCU